Molecule: non-coding RNA, 296 nt
Organism: Pelobates cultripes (western spadefoot toad)
Lineage: Eukaryota; Metazoa; Chordata; Amphibia; Anura; Pelobatidae
Source: the annotation of a GenBank genome assembly
CCUGCUCAGUGAGUUUACAUGUUAGAGGGAGUGGGGUAUAGUGACACAGUAACAGAGGGAUUGAGGGUCCUGCUCAGUGAGUUUACAUGUUAGAGGGAGUGGGGUAUAGUGACACAGUAACAGAGGGAUUGAGGGCCUGCUCAGUGAGUUUACAUGUUAGAGGGAGUGGGGUAUAGUGACACAGUAACAGAGGUAUUGAGGGUCCUGCUCAAUGAGUUUACAUGCUAGAGGGAGUGGGGUAUAGUGACACAGUAACAGAGGGAUUGAGGGUCCUGCUCAGUGAGUUUACAUGUUAG